This 369-nucleotide unclassified non-coding RNA is filed under the name uncultured fungus. RNAcentral describes it as "partial contains 5.8S ribosomal RNA and internal transcribed spacer 2". The stretch from base 1 to 133 matches the Rfam family "5.8S ribosomal RNA", at positions 22 to 154 of the family's 154-position model. The record is from RNAcentral. Lineage: Eukaryota; Fungi.
UGGCUCUCGCAUCGAUGAAGAACGCAGCGAAAUGCGAUAAGUAAUGUGAAUUGCAGAAUUCAGUGAAUCAUCGAAUCUUUGAACGCACCUUGCGCUCCUUGGUAUUCCGAGGAGCAUGCCUGUUUGAGUGUCAUUAAAUUCUCAACCUCACCAAUAUAUUGAUGAUGGCUUGGACUUUGGGGGUAUAUUUGCUAGUGAUUCAAUUACCAGCUCCCCUUAAAUUGAUUAGCUGGUACCCUGCGCGGACUGUCUAUUGGUGUGAUAAUUAUCUACGCCGUUGACUGCUGCCUUAGAUAGGUGUACUGCUUACAACCGUCUUCGGACACUAUAUGACAAUUUGACCUCAAAUCAGGUAGGACUACCCGCUGA